Molecule: transfer RNA, 73 nt
Filed under: Canis lupus familiaris (dog)
Lineage: Eukaryota; Metazoa; Chordata; Mammalia; Carnivora; Canidae
Also listed under: 1 other name
Rfam family: tRNA
About the family: Transfer RNA (tRNA) molecules are approximately 80 nucleotides in length. Their secondary structure includes four short double-helical elements and three loops (D, anti-codon, and T loops).
Source: Rfam by way of RNAcentral
GCCCAAUUAGCUCAGUCAGAAGAGCAUAAGACCCUUGAUUUUAGUGUUGUGAGUUCAAGCCCCACACUGGGGU